Molecule: long non-coding RNA, 801 nt
Organism: Melitaea cinxia (Glanville fritillary)
Lineage: Eukaryota; Metazoa; Arthropoda; Insecta; Lepidoptera; Nymphalidae
Exons: 2
Source: RefSeq, a predicted model, not a curated record
UGAAUAAUCCAUUAAAACCUAUCAAGCAACCAAGAGAACAAUUGGAACCAAAAUAAAUAUCACACACGACUUGUUUGGAUUUAAUAAAAUAAUUGAUUAAAAAAGUUGCAAGGGCCUGAACUAAUCAGUUACAAAAAACAGUGUUUAAAGUUUAAUAUCUGUGAAGUGUGAAGGAUAUUUUUUGUUAUGAAUUUGAUGGACUUCCUUCUACAAUAAAUCUAUGUAAAUAAUAUUAUUCGAAGCUUUUACUAAUUAAUAUUUGUACUAUUUCAACAUUUAAUUAUUGGUUUUAUUGUACUAUGCUGAAAUAAAUGAAAUCAAGAUAUAUCAAUUGUUAUGAAAACUCCCAAUUUAGAAAAGGAAUUUCAGGAUUUUGUAAACAAGAUUGCCCCUACAAAAUUGACUGAAUGUUUUCAGCUAUUCUAAAAGUAGCAGAUGGAUCAAAGCAAGUAACCUGUGUGGUAAAAGGAAAAACAGUUGGUCUUUUAUUUGGAUUAAGUGAAGACGAGUGGUCAGAUGUUGAAAAUAUGUGUGGUAACGGCCAGCAACUAUUUUACAGAUAUUUCAAAGAUGGCCUAAGUAGGAAUUUUAGUUGUGAGCAGAAACUUUUUUAUAAUUUUUGCCUUAGCAACCGAAAAGAGAAUGUUCUAAUUGCCCUAUUCUGCAGAAUAAAUAAUACUAGGAAUAAAGAUAAAAAGGAUGCGAUGAUUCAGAUUUUCCAUUUGAAAAAAUCAAGUAGUUACAUAUUGGACUUAUAUUUAAAUCAUUUAAGACAACAAAUAUAAAUGAUACUGCCAUGUC